RNAcentral lists this transfer RNA (73 nucleotides) under Ailuropoda melanoleuca (giant panda). It matches the Rfam family "tRNA". From Rfam's summary of the family: Transfer RNA (tRNA) molecules are approximately 80 nucleotides in length. Lineage: Eukaryota; Metazoa; Chordata; Mammalia; Carnivora; Ursidae. The record is from Rfam by way of RNAcentral.
ACCUGGCUGGCUCAGUUGGAAGAGCAUGUGACUCUUGAUCUUGGGGUCGUGAGUUGGAGCCCCACGUUGGGUG